GACGAACGCUGGCGGCGUGCUUAACACAUGCAAGUCGAACGGAAAGGCCCUGCUUUUGUGGGGUGCUCGAGUGGCGAACGGGUGAGUAACACGUGAGUAACCUGCCCUUGACUUUGGGAUAACUUCAGGAAACUGGGGCUAAUACCGGAUAGGAGCUCCUGCUGCAUGGUGGGGGUUGGAAAGUUUCGGCGGUUGGGGAUGGACUCGCGGCUUAUCAGCUUGUUGGUGGGGUAGUGGCUUACCAGGGCUUUGACGGGUAGCCGGCCUGAGAGGGUGACCGGCCGCAUUGGGACUGAGAUACGGCGCAGACUCCUACGGGAGGCAGCAGUGGGGAAUAUUGCACAAUGGGCGGAAGCCUGAUGCAGCAACGCCGCGUGCGGGAUGACGGCCUUCGGGUUGUAAACCGCUUUCGCCUGUGACGAAGCGUGAGUGACGGUAAUGGGUAAAGAAGCACCGGCUAACUACGUG
This 468-nucleotide ribosomal RNA is filed under the name uncultured bacterium. Its description in RNAcentral is "partial 16S ribosomal RNA". It matches the Rfam family "Bacterial small subunit ribosomal RNA", at positions 28 to 507 of the family's 1533-position model. The record is from RNAcentral.